Drosophila novamexicana is the source of this 1814-nucleotide long non-coding RNA. RefSeq lists it as uncharacterized. The transcript is spliced from 5 exons. Lineage: Eukaryota; Metazoa; Arthropoda; Insecta; Diptera; Drosophilidae. The record is from RefSeq and is a predicted model, not a curated record.
AUAGUGAGCAUUAAGAUCAAAUAAAAAUUGUUAAAUUGUUAAAAUUCUGAAACAAUAGCAGACUCGACGCGGCCAUGAACACGCCUCCACGCAGACGCAUUCCCCGACCCAAAUACGACCGAGCACUCUGUGGCACGUCUUGAUGAAAGGCAAGCAUGCGGUGCCUUUUAACAUAUCUGAACAGUCCCGUGAAAAUUACUCGUACAAUUUGGCAUAAUUUUUAUGAGGCAAACAAGUGUGAAAAACGGGUAAGGAAAAAGCGGGUCGAACAAACGAAUGGAAAUUUCAAAAUCCUUUAGCGAGGAUCGAAUUUACUUAAGACUUGCGACUGGCCCCGGACCAGGCCAACAUAAAACAACAAUUAAAAUUCUUAGCGCAUGCGUGUUCAUAAGAGCUGGGCAACAAAGAGACCGCAACAGCAUUAAAAUUCGAUGCUUCCCCGUAGAUCCUAAAGCUACGAUAAGACUACGUUUGUCCCAGAGAAAAAAAGGGUACUUUAAAUGGAGCGACACAAUCAAACUGCCAGGCUGCAUAUUGAUAGUUUAGUUUUAGGAUUGGAUAAUGAGAAACGAAUGAGAACAGAAGAACGUAAUGAAUACCAACGGCAGAUGAGAAAUAAAAUGGAUGAAGCAAGCUACAUGUAAGGAAACAAAUCCAUAGAAAGUAUGAACAUAUCGAUCUGGGGAACUCUGUCUGUGUUGUCCAUCUGUUGAACCCACAAAGCCAGCCUAUCGCCAGAUGUGUAGAAUUGAGUCACAAUACAUUAAUGCGAAUUGCAUGUAACUUAAAUUAUUUGAGUACCUCUGAAAUAAAUCCAUAAAACCAUGCCCAUUAAAAAAAUAUGCAAUACCGUACGUAUAUAAUGAUUGCAAGCUUAGAAAACAAAGCAUAAGAAUAUAAUAAAAUAAGUGGGAGUUGCCCAAAAUAAAGAAAACAACAAAGAAAGAAACAGGAAACCAAACGUUUUGAUGAAUGGCUCAUAAUACUCAACGCACACAUGCAAACAUGCACAGCACACGCACAAAACCAAAUUGACGAAUAAGCGAAGCACCCAGAGCAGACAGGCGGACGAACGGUCCAAUGAGUCGGGGGCGAACAAUAGCAAAGAACCGAAAAUCUUAUAAAACCGAAAUUAAAAAAGCAACAACAGAAACGGCGCUCAUAACUGCGCGUGAGAAAGAGUCGCAGCGCGAGAGGUGGGAAGAGCUCGCGCAACAAAUGGCCGAGGCGCAGGCGUGCGUGCAAGUGAGAUGGCAGCUGUAAAAGGGCCGUACACUUAUAAGCAGGGGAUUCACAACCAGUUGCCGGGGCAUAUGAAUUAUGAUAAAUUAUUAACCAAGAGAAUGCAAGUGCGAGAGAGAAGGCAGAUCGUCAGACAGCGCACCCGAGAGCAGCCGAGUGUAUGUAUGUAUGUAGCUGUAAAAACGGCAAGAGCACGUUUACUACAAGCACAAAAACAAUGGCGCAAAAGGUGAGCGAGCCCCAGAGGCGGAAGGAAGCAGUAGCAGGAGCAAGGAAAGCGCAGCCAAGCCGAGUACCAACACCAACUUCGCUGCUUUUUUGAGCGGCGGCGAGCAGCGGCGAGUAUCUCUCGGCUUUUUUUUUGUCAAACAGGUAAGCAGAAACACCAGAGACUGAGCAUCCUUCGCUCGUGAGCGCGAGAGGGAGAGAGAGAGAGAGACAGAGAGAGCGAGGGUAACAAGCUGAGCAGAGGUGAGAGGUUGAUGGCAACAGUAACAGUAACAGCAGCCAUAGCUUCCAAUGGGUGCAAGUAAGACAACAAAAGGCUGACUGUCGAGCAAAAUUUAAUAAAA